RNAcentral lists this antisense RNA (69 nucleotides) under Streptomyces sp. Rer75. Its description in RNAcentral is "ASpks TB sRNA". It matches the Rfam family "ASpks TB sRNA". Lineage: Bacteria; Bacillati; Actinomycetota; Actinomycetes; Kitasatosporales; Streptomycetaceae. The record is from Rfam by way of RNAcentral.
CUUCACCGACCCCAGCCACAGCGGACGCUCCCGCUCCUGCCCGUACGUCGCCAGCAGCGCCUGCGCCUC